UGAGUAACGCGUGGGAAUCUACCUAGAAAUGGGGAAUAACUAUUGGAAACGAUAGCUAAUACCGCACAAUCCCUCUGGGGCAAAGGCUUCGGUCGUUUUUAGAUGAGCCCGCGUUAGAUUAGGCUGUUGGUGAGGUAAUGGCUCACCAAACCUGCAAUCUAUAGCUGGUCUGAGAGGAUGAUCAGCCACACUGGGACUGAGACACGGCCCAGACUCCUACGGGAGGCAGCAGUGGGGAAUAUUGGACAAUGGAGGCAACUCUGAUCCAGCAAUGCCGCGUGUGUGAUGAAGGCCUUAGGGUUGUAAAGCACUUUCAACGGUGAAGAUGAUGACGGUAGCCGUAGAAGAAGCCCCGGCUAACUUCGUGCCCAGCAGCCGCGGUAAUACGAAGGGGGCGAGCGUUAUUCGGAAUUAUUGGGCGUAAAGGGCUCGCAGGCUGCUUGAACAGUUAGACGUGAAAAUCCCCGGGCUCAACCUGGGAACUGCGUUUUAAUACUAGCAAAGCUAGAGAAAUAGAGAGGAUAGUGGAAACUCCCCAGUUGUAAGAGGGUGAAAAUUCGUAGAUAUUGGGGAAGAACCACCCAGUGGGCGAAAGCGAAC
RNAcentral lists this ribosomal RNA (600 nucleotides) under uncultured bacterium. RNAcentral's name for it is "bacterial SSU rRNA". It matches the Rfam family "Bacterial small subunit ribosomal RNA", at positions 107 to 725 of the family's 1533-position model. The record is from RNAcentral.